AGUCGAAACCAAGGUGAAUCCUUGGUCUGUCAGUAAUGACCAACUGGCACUGAUGAGACAGGUCAAA
This 67-nucleotide non-coding RNA is filed under the name Brevibacterium sp. JNUCC-42. The record is from RNAcentral. Lineage: Bacteria; Bacillati; Actinomycetota; Actinomycetes; Micrococcales; Brevibacteriaceae.